RNAcentral lists this ribosomal RNA (253 nucleotides) under uncultured bacterium. RNAcentral's name for it is "partial 16S ribosomal RNA". It matches the Rfam family "Bacterial small subunit ribosomal RNA", at positions 524 to 776 of the family's 1533-position model. The record is from RNAcentral.
UACGAAGGGGGCUAGCGUUGCUCGGAAUCACUGGGCGUAAAGCGCACGUAGGCGGAUUGUUAAGUCAGGGGUGAAAUCCUGGAGCUCAACUCCAGAACUGCCUUUGAUACUGGCGAUCUCGAGUCCGGGAGAGGUGAGUGGAACUGCGAGUGUAGAGGUGAAAUUCGUAGAUAUUCGCAAGAACACCAGUGGCGAAGGCGGCUCACUGGCCCGGUACUGACGCUGAUGAGCGAAAGCCAGGGGAGCAAACGGG